UGGGGGAAUAUUGGGCAAUGGGCGAAAGCCUGACCCAGCGACGCCGCGUGAGGGAAGAAGGUCUUCGGAUUGUAAACCUCUGUUGACAGGGAAGAAGAAAGUGACGGUACCUGUCGAGGAAGUCACGGCUAACUACGUGCCAGCAGCCGCGGUAAUACGUAGGUGGCAAGCGUUAUCCGGAUUUACUGGGUGUAAAGGGUGUGUAGGCGGGACGGCAAGUCAGAUGUGAAAAUUAUGGGCUUAACCCAUAACCUGCAUUUGAAACUGUAUCUCUUGAGUGUCGGAGAGGUAGACGGAAUUCCUAGUGUAGCGGUGAAAUGCGUAGAUAUUAGGAGGAACACCAGUGGCGAAGGCGGUCUACUGGACGAUAACUGACGCUGAGGCGCGAAAGCGUGGGGAGCAAACAGGAUUAGAUACCCUGGUAGU
RNAcentral lists this ribosomal RNA (426 nucleotides) under uncultured Oscillospiraceae bacterium. RNAcentral's name for it is "bacterial SSU rRNA". It matches the Rfam family "Bacterial small subunit ribosomal RNA", at positions 354 to 794 of the family's 1533-position model. The record is from RNAcentral. Lineage: Bacteria; Bacillati; Bacillota; Clostridia; Eubacteriales; Oscillospiraceae.